GGAGUUGAACUAUAUGCUUACCCUUCCUGGUUCUUACCAAGUGCUUGGUAGUUCGUUAUUUUGCUGCUUACAUUUGCUUUAGGUUUCACCAUUGUCAUCUAUGAAUUGAUUGAUAUUUUUUUUGUAUCAUACAUUUUCAUGAAUCCUCCAUGCUAAAAGUGGUGUAAUAAUGUAGAAAAAGAAUCACAUAAUUUGGAAUUAAAGUCGUUGCUGAUCGCUGUUUUGAUGCAAAAUAUAUGGUACGAUAUGCCGUGCAAGGAAGUUAAUCCACAAAAAGAGCAUUAAAUUGUAAAGCUACCAAAACAAGAAAAGACUUAUCUGAACUCUUCCUUCAACAACCAUUCUUUUUCAAGCUCUUCCUCCAGUUUUCUCUGCAGAAGAUCCAGUUCUGCAUCAGUAGUAGUCUCACAUCUAGCUUCCUCUGUUUUUUGCUUGCAUGCAUCAAUUUUUUCCUGAUAAUUUGAUUCAUCUAAGCACAGGUCAAAUGCAUAAUACAAUAAAUAGGAUCUGCUCAUACUCCAUAACAUGAACAUUAACUAGUGGAAAAAGGGUAGAGUUUGUAGUGGAGUUCUUUUAGUUCGUAAUAGACGGCAUGCCAUACUUAAGCUACUUCCACGCGAACCACAAGGAAACUUUCCAGCAGCAUCUUUCCAUUUUCCAUUAUCAUUCCUUCUGCACUAAAACUAAAUAACUCAAAAAGAUGAUAAUGGAAAAUACCAUGCUUCAAACUUCCACUCCAUUGUUUUUUUAAUUUUGGUACAACAUCAUUUUUAACUUCAAUUAUAUUAAAUUAUUCAACAUGUUCACAAACCAACCCCAAACAAUACAUUAGCAAUGUACAUAAAACUACACCCCCGUGGGGAUCAAAUCACACAAUAGAUAAAGACUCUCAGCAACAACAAAGAACGAACAGUUUUUAACUAUGGUCCACAACCAUGUCACAACCACAAUUGCAGCAACAUUUUUCCACGAGUAUGGUAAAUGCAACAUAAUAGGACACUAAUUGAAAGCUCUAUAAUGUUGCUUCAGAAAUCAAUCUUGAGGAUUAGAUAUCAGCCAGGAGAGUAUUCAUUUUUUUUAUGAUGAUUGAUAAUAAAAGUUUAGAAUAUUCUUUCUCUCUGUCAAUUUCUCUACAUAGAUUUUCCUAAACCCAUAUCUAUCACAAAGACACUACAGAAAAUAGACUAUAAUGGGAAAACAAUAAUCAACAAAAUAAGCAUAAAAAUCACAAAAAAUGAAAACAUUAAUACAAAAUAUUAAAUUCCUACAUUUAUUUUUAAACAACAUAGAAGCAGAAAAAAACACAAAAUUCAUUCUAAAAUCCCCAAAUUUCGGCACGUUACUAAUUUCAUUUUAAAAAUUGAAAGAAUAACCAAGCAAAAAGUGAAAAGGACCUUGAAGCAAUUUGUGAAGGGGAUUGAAAUCGGAGUGGAAUGUUGAAGAGAGUGAAAUGGUGCGUUGCAGAGUGUGAAUUAGGUUAUUGAUGUCACGCUUGUGUUGCAAUAGCUUAACGACGUCGUUGGUGUAAGAGAUGAGGUUUCCCACGUCCAUGUUUGUUGACAACAAUUCCCCAUUUGUCCAAUAACUUUCCGAGGGAGGAAACUUUUCCUCUAUUUCAUAGUCAUACUAGUAGGAGACCCAUGUGAUUCUUUUGCAUAAAUUUAAGAAUUAUGUGACUAAACAUAGAUGGAAAAUAACAUGGAGAAUGUGACUAAAGA
RNAcentral lists this long non-coding RNA (1718 nucleotides) under Lupinus angustifolius (narrow-leaved blue lupine). RNAcentral's name for it is "long non-coding RNA (LANG_LNC003060)". The record is from RNAcentral. Lineage: Eukaryota; Viridiplantae; Streptophyta; Magnoliopsida; Fabales; Fabaceae.